CACGUAGGGUGCGAGCGUUGUCCGGAAUUAUUGGGCGUAAAGAGCUCGUAGGCGGUGUGUCGCGUCGGCCGUGAAAACCUGCAGCUUAACUGUGGGCUUGCGGUCGAUACGGGCAUCACUGGAGUUCGGCAGGGGAGACUGGAAUUCCUGGUGUAGCGGUGAAAUGCGCAGAUAUCAGGAGGAAUACCGAUGGCGAAGGCAGGUCUCUGGGCUAUAACUGACGCUCAUGCACGAAAGCGUGGGGAGCAAACAGG
RNAcentral lists this ribosomal RNA (254 nucleotides) under uncultured bacterium. Its description in RNAcentral is "partial 16S ribosomal RNA". It matches the Rfam family "Bacterial small subunit ribosomal RNA", at positions 524 to 776 of the family's 1533-position model. The record is from RNAcentral.